UUAGGCGCUGGCAUGCCUCAGUAGCGGCGAGUGAGCGGCAAGAGCUCAGAUUUGAAAUCUCACCUAGUGUGCGAGUUGUAAAUUGCAGGUUGGAGUCUCGGGUUAGACGUGUGUGCAAGUCCCUUGGAACAGGGUGCCACUGAGGGUGAGAGCCCCGUAGCGUGCAUGUCGACACCUGUGAGGCCCUUCUGACGAGUCGAGUUGUUUGGGAAUGCAGCUCUAAGUGGGUGGUAAAUUCCAUCUAAGGCUAAAUAUUGGCGAGAGACCGAUAGCGAACAAGUACUGUGAAGGAAAGAUGAAAAGCACUUUGAAAAGAGAGUGAAACAGCACGUGAAAUUGUUGAAAGGGAAGGGUAUUGGGCUCGACAUGGGAUUUACGCAUCGUUGCCUCUCGUGGGCGGCGCUCUGGGUUUUUCCUGGGCCAGCAUCGGUUUUCGUUGCAGGAUAAGGACAAUUGGAAUGUGGCUCCUCGGAGUGUUAUAGCCUUUUGUAGAUGCUGCGUAUGGGGACCGAGGGCUGCGGCGGACUCGUUUCGUCUCGGAUGCUGGCACAACGGCGCAAUACCGCCCGUCUUGAAACACGGACCA
Molecule: ribosomal RNA, 586 nt
Filed under: Pichia kluyveri
Lineage: Eukaryota; Fungi; Ascomycota; Pichiomycetes; Pichiales; Pichiaceae
Description: partial large subunit ribosomal RNA
Rfam family: Eukaryotic large subunit ribosomal RNA
Source: RNAcentral